UUACUGUCAUUAGUUCAUAAAGUUUCGAAUUUUGUUGUUACGAAUAGAAGGUGAGUUUAAAAAGUAGUGUUGUGUUAUUGUGUACCAUAAGGUACCAUGUCAAUAGAAAAAUCUCUCUUGUUUUCUGCUUGGUGUGAAGGCAAUUCUUUGAAG
Molecule: long non-coding RNA, 153 nt
Organism: Sitophilus oryzae (rice weevil)
Lineage: Eukaryota; Metazoa; Arthropoda; Insecta; Coleoptera; Curculionidae
Exons: 2
Source: RefSeq, a predicted model, not a curated record